GACGAACGCUGGCGGCGUGCUUAACACAUGCAAGUCGAACGGAAAGGCCCUGCUUUUGUGGGGUGCUCGAGUUGCGAACUGGUGAGUAACACGUGAGUAACCUGCCCUUGACUUUGGGAUAACUUCAGGAAACUGGGGCUCAUACCGGAUAGGAGCUCCUGCUGCAUGGUGGGGGUUGGAAAGUUUCGGCGGUUGGGGAUGGACUCGCGUCUUAUCAGCUUGUUGGUGGGGUAGUGGCUUACCAAGGCUUUGACGGGUAGCCGGCCUGAGAGGGUGACCGGCCAAAUUGGGACUGAGAUACGGCACAGACUCCUACGGGAGGCAGCAGAGGGGAAUAGUGCACAAUGGGCGGAAGGAUGAUGCAGCAACGCCGCGUGCGGGAUGACGGCCUUCGGGUUGUAAACCGCUUUCGCCUGUGACGAAGCGUGAGUGACGGUAAUGGGUAAAGAAGCACCGGCUAACUACGUG
This 468-nucleotide ribosomal RNA is filed under the name uncultured bacterium. Its description in RNAcentral is "partial 16S ribosomal RNA". It matches the Rfam family "Bacterial small subunit ribosomal RNA", at positions 28 to 507 of the family's 1533-position model. The record is from RNAcentral.